RNAcentral lists this ribosomal RNA (464 nucleotides) under uncultured bacterium. RNAcentral describes it as "partial 16S ribosomal RNA". It matches the Rfam family "Bacterial small subunit ribosomal RNA", at positions 339 to 795 of the family's 1533-position model. The record is from RNAcentral.
CUACGGGAGGCACCAGUGGGGAAUAUUGGACAAUGGGCGAAAGCCUGAUCCAGCAAUACCGCGUGUGUGAAGAAGGCCUGAGGGUUGUAAAGCACUUUCAGUAAGGAGGAAAUCACUGAGGUUAAUACCCUUGGUAUUUGACGUUACUUACAGAAGAAGCACCGGCUAACUCCGUGCCAGCAGCCGCGGUAAUACGGAGGGUGCAAGCGUUAAUCGGAAUUACUGGGCGUAAAGCGCGCGUAGGCGGUUUGGUCAGUCAGAUGUGAAAGCCCCGGGCUCAACCUGGGAACUGCAUUUGAUACUGCUGAACUAGAGUGUGGUAGAGGGAAGUGGAAUUCCGGGUGUAGCGGUGAAAUGCGUAGAUAUCCGGAGGAACAUCAGUGGCGAAGGCGGCUUCCUGGACCAACACUGACGCUGAGGUGCGAAAGCGUGGGUAGCAAACAGGAUUAGAUACCCUUGUAGUC